AAAUUUUAGUUAAAUACAAUAACAUUAGUUUGUCAAACUAAAAUCAUCUAAUAAAUAAAUUUUU
This 64-nucleotide transfer RNA is filed under the name Crepidodera sp. BMNH 846613. RNAcentral's name for it is "tRNA-Asp". The record is from RNAcentral. Lineage: Eukaryota; Metazoa; Arthropoda; Insecta; Coleoptera; Chrysomelidae.